This 499-nucleotide ribosomal RNA is filed under the name uncultured Glomeromycotina. Its description in RNAcentral is "partial small subunit ribosomal RNA". It matches the Rfam family "Eukaryotic small subunit ribosomal RNA", at positions 591 to 1092 of the family's 1831-position model. Lineage: Eukaryota; Fungi; Glomeromycota. The record is from RNAcentral.
CCAAUAGCGUAUAUUAAAGUUGUUGCAGUUAAAAAGCUCGUAGUUGAAUUUCGGGGUCAGUAGGUUGGUCAUGCCACUGGUAUGUACUGGUCUCACUGAUUCCUCCUUCCUGAUGAACUGUAAUGCCAUUAAUUUGGUGUUGCAGGGAAUCUGGACUGUUACUUUGAAAAAAUUAGAGUGUUUAAAGCAGGCUAACGCCUGAAUACAUUAGCAUGGAAUAAUGAAAUAGGACGUUCGAUCCUAUUUUGUUGGUUUCUAGGAUUGACGUAAUGAUUAAUAGGGAUAGUUGGGGCAUUAGUAUUCAAUUGUCAGAGGUGAAAUUCUUGGAUUUAUUGAAGACUAACUACUGCGAAAGCAUUUGCCAAGGAUGUUUUCAUUAAUCAAGAACGAAAGUUAGGGGAUCGAAGACGAUCAGAUACCGUCGUAGUCUUAACCAUAAACUAUGCCGACUAGGGAUCGGAUGAUGUUAAUUUUUUAAUGACUCAUUCGGCGCCUUACG